This 433-nucleotide ribosomal RNA is filed under the name uncultured Acidimicrobiales bacterium. RNAcentral's name for it is "bacterial SSU rRNA". It matches the Rfam family "Bacterial small subunit ribosomal RNA", at positions 342 to 791 of the family's 1533-position model. Lineage: Bacteria; Bacillati; Actinomycetota; Acidimicrobiia; Acidimicrobiales. The record is from RNAcentral.
CGGGGGGCAGCAGUGGGGAAUCUUGCGCAAUGGGCGAAAGCCUGACGCAGCAACGCCGCGUGCGGGAUGAAGGCCCUAGGGUUGUAAACCGCUUUCAGUAGGAACGAAAAUGACGGUACCUGCAGAAGAAGGUGCGGCCAACUACGUGCCAGCAGCCGCGGUGACACGUAGGCACCAAGCGUUGUCCGGAUUUAUUGGGCGUAAAGAGCUCGUAGGCGGUUUAGUAAGUCGGGUGUGAAAACUCUGGGCUUACCCCAGAGCCGCCACUCGAUACUGCUGUGACUUGAGUUCGGUAGGGGAGCAGGGAAUUCCUAGUGUAGCGGUGAAAUGCGCAGAUAUUAGGAGGAACACCGGUGGCGAAGGCGCUGCUCUGGGCCGAUACUGACGCUGAGGAGCGAAAGCGUGGGUAGCAAACAGGAUUAGAUACCCGAGU